GACGAACGCUGGCGGCGUGCUUAACACAUGCAAGUCGAACGAAAAGAGGGAAAGAGCUUGCUCUUUCCGGAAUUGAGUGGCAAACGGGUGAGUAACACGUAAACAACCUGCCUUCAGGAUGGGGACAACAGACGGAAACGACUGCUAAUACCAAAUAAGUUCCAAGAGCCGCAUGGCCCAUGGAAGAAAAGGUGGCCUCUACCUGUAAGCUAUCGCCUGAAGAGGGGUUUGCGUCUGAUUAGCUGGUUGGAGGGGUAACGGCCCACCAAGGCGACGAUCAGUAGCCGGUCUGAGAGGAUGAACGGCCACACUGGAACUGAGACACGGUCCAGACUCCUACGGGAGGCAGCAGUGGGGAAUCUUCCGCAAUGGGCGAAAGCCUGACGGAGCAACGCCGCGUGAGUGAUGACGGCCUUCGGGUUGUAAAACUCUGUGAUCCGGGACGAAAAGGCAGAGUGCGAAGAACAAACUGCAUUGACGGUACCGGAAAAGCAAGCCACGGCUAACUACGUG
Molecule: ribosomal RNA, 513 nt
Filed under: uncultured bacterium
Lineage: Bacteria
Description: partial 16S ribosomal RNA
Rfam family: Bacterial small subunit ribosomal RNA
Source: RNAcentral